This is a long non-coding RNA of Osmerus eperlanus (European smelt), 1064 nucleotides long. RefSeq lists it as uncharacterized. The record is from RefSeq and is a predicted model, not a curated record. The transcript is spliced from 3 exons. NCBI's taxonomy places the organism in Eukaryota, Metazoa, Chordata, Actinopteri, Osmeriformes, Osmeridae.
UCAGGAGAGCUGUGGAAAAGAGUGCGUGCCAGGAGGGAGGGAAUGUGUUUGAGUGUGUGUUUUUGAAACAUCCUAUAUGUGAAACGCCCCAUUGCUCAUGAAACCUGAGAUGGCCUCUCUUUCUAAGGACGGGGUGCUCUGUGUGAACUUUAUAAAUGUAUCUUUGGUGAAAAUGAAUAGCCUGCUGCACGCAAUAAGAUAGAAUGCAUCAACCUGGGCUACAGUCUGUCUCUCCAGAGUCCAGAGGAGUUCCUUAGAGACAGCAUUUUCUUACACUGAUUACCCUCUGUUUUCGUUUGCCGAUACAAACACCUGAACCAGGUGCUUGCAAAAUGUCCAUUCACCUACAUCACAGGUUUGCGUGAUAUCCAGCACUGUUGUGCAACAGUCGAUUUUGUACACAAUGAAGAAUGUAACCCAAAGAAACACGCAGAGAGAAAGACCCCAUCAGAGAAAAUACUAUGCCACAAAUACUAUACCAUGUCUCUUUGUUGCACCCUCGAACAAACCAACAGGAAGUUUUUGCAGAUGAAAAUGUCCUGGAAAAUGUCAGUGAGGCCCGCAGGGAAGGAUGCUGUGAAAGAGACUGAGAUGAAAAGCCACCACAAGCUGCUCUCACUGCCAAACUGCCAUUUUGGAUUGUAAAUCAAAAUGCCUUUCAACUGUCUUCAAAUUAUGUUUAUGUGAGUGUUGCUGUUCUUGCUAUCACGCCCCAUGUUUCUGGGCACCUCUGGCUUGCGCACCUGCAGACAUACACUAACACGUGCACACACUCACACACACAGACUCACACACACACACACACACACACACACACACACACACAUAGUAAUGAAAACAGAAUUUACCUCCCAGCUUCAAUAGAGGAUCUGUCUCUGUUUUCUCUCACAUUAAAAUGUCACCAUCCCUUUCAACUGACUGCUAUUUUUGUUCCAACUCACUUGCCUUAUUGGGCCCAUUCAGUUUCAUAUCAAUGUUCCACUUUGUUUAAAAUGCACGUCCACCAACAAUCAGUAAACGUCCUUUUAAGCCUUUUGUUAGCAUUAAUGAUAGGAAAGCACUGA